CAAGUCUGGUGCCAGCAGCCGCCGUAAUUCCAGCUCCAAUAGCGUAUAUUAAAGUUGUUGCAGUUAAAAAGCUCGUAGUUGAAACUUGGGCCUGGCUGGCAGGUCCGCCUCACCGCGUGUACUUGUCCGGCCGGGCCUUUCCUUCUGGAGAACCUCAUGCCCUUCACUGGGUGUGUUGGGGAACCAGGACUUUUACUUUGAAAAAAUUAGAGUGUUCAAAGCAGGCCUUUGCUCGAAUACGUUAGCAUGGAAUAAUAGAAUAGGACGUGCGGUCCUAUUUUGUUGGUUUCUAGGACCGCCGUAAUGAUUAAUAGGGACAGUCGGGGGCAUCAGUAUUCAAUUGUCAGAGGUGAAAUUCUUGGAUUUAUUGAAGACUAACUACUGCGAAAGCAUUUGCCAAGGAUGUUUUCAUUAAUCAGUGAACGAAAGUUAGGGGAUCGAAGACGAUCAAAUACCGUCGUAUUCUUAACCGUAACCUAUGCCG
RNAcentral lists this ribosomal RNA (484 nucleotides) under uncultured Cladosporium. Its description in RNAcentral is "SSU rRNA". It matches the Rfam family "Eukaryotic small subunit ribosomal RNA", at positions 556 to 1044 of the family's 1831-position model. The record is from RNAcentral. Lineage: Eukaryota; Fungi; Ascomycota; Dothideomycetes; Cladosporiales; Cladosporiaceae.